Molecule: long non-coding RNA, 1824 nt
Filed under: Sus scrofa (pig)
Lineage: Eukaryota; Metazoa; Chordata; Mammalia; Artiodactyla; Suidae
Description: lncRNA (ENSSSCG00035033987.1)
Source: RNAcentral
ACCACUCUGUCUUUUAAGACUAGCUCCCCUUUCUGCACACCCAUUGCUGCCGUCUCUCCCGCUGCGUAUAAAUGAGUCUUUGGAGUAAGCAAGGUCUCUCUGGGCCAGUUCAAAUUUCUAUGCCUCGGCCCUCGUACUGUGGAAUCCUCCCUCCCAUCUUUUUCCUGCAUAUCUCCGAAAAAAAAAAAAAUUAAGUUCUUGGCAUUUCUACGCACGGAUGAAAGACAAGCGGUAGAGGAGGGUGCAGGUGCGGGCGGGCGGAGGCAGGGGCGCCGCGGACGGGCGGCGGCGCGGUGCCUCUUUCCCGCGCGGGAGGCGGCUGGGACCCCGGCCUGGUGCGGGGCCCGCGGCUCUCCGCGCUGCGCAGCCGGAGAGCGGAGGAUUGGGUGUCCGCAGGUACGCGGCGCCCAGCCAGGAGGGAGCCCUUUAGAUGCCGCCAGUUUGCAGAGACGGGGCUGCCCCAAGCCUCGGACUCCCACGCCGCAUCCCGAGCGGGAGAAGCGUCGCUCAACCUUGAAUCCGGCUCGGGGACUGACCCGGACUUGACCUCUCCCUCCGCGCCGCCCGCACUCUCGACCGCACACUGUGGCCCGCAAGCCCAGACGUCGCCAGCAUCGCUCUUUGGUCUCGACGCCCAGCUCCGGGCUCUGGCGCCGAGCUUCCAAGUUGGGGUGGGGACCGGACGGUGUUGUCCGCGGAGUUUGGGGGUAAGCAGGAUAGAGGAUCUCGGCUGGUUCUCGAGUGUCGCCGGCGGGUCAGGCCCAUCCUGUGAGAGACCUCCCCAGCGGACCUGGGCAGCCAAGGUCGAAGUUUUAGGAGUGUAAGGCAGCAAGGCCAAGGACAUUAUGGAGGACAGGGCACACACCAUUCCGGCGCUGCCCUCAAACUUGGGGGCUCCAUGCCUUUUGCGGUUAUUUGCUCUGCACCUCAUUCCUCCCGGCCAGCGCGCACAGCCAAACCCCGCGGCGGCCUGAACCGGGAGGAGGUGCGGGGUGGAGAGGCGGCCCUCCUUAGGUCUCCAGCCUGUCACAUCUGCACUUAUUUAAAGCUCGGCUGGUGGUCCUCGCUCUCUGGAAUGCCAAUUGCAGGCCUGGCCGCCUACGACAUUUGCAUUGAUUAGCCAGCCGGUCAUGGGGGAGGCCAAAGGCAGGGAGAAGGGGGUUUGAGGGAGACAGGAGGUUCACUAUAUUCUUCCUGACCCCGUACUGAGUGAGAGUCAGCUUGGGAGCCCAAAGGUGGUUUCCUUCACACCAGAUAAAGAGUUGAAUUCAUCACGGAACAGAGGACUGAACUUCUAGAACUUUCUAUGUGUAUAGGAAUUGGCUGUUGCCUUGAAGCAUGUUCUUUGUGGUCCACGUGCACACACCACCAUAAAUCUCUGAAGGCUCCAGCGCUGAAUCAGGCAGAGAAGGUGGACAAGCACUGCGACCUCACCUCUCUCCAGGCCCUGCAAGUGUGUAAGGUAGUGUCUGUGAUACGGCGCUUCCUCAGUGGGCAGCUCUGAGAUGUUUGCUGGUGGCCGGCCAUAAAAAGAGAUUGACCUGCCUCAUUGGUCAUAUUGUACACCAGCUCUAAAAAGGUACAGGCAACCUGUCUCAGAGUUCUCACCCCCAAGGGGAAGAGGCAAAUACGUUGGUUGAGAAAGAAGAAAAGUAAGGCAGCCCCCACAGGCUUGGAGAGAGGAGGGAAGGUUCCCAGAGAAGCGAUUUUUAUGCUAUAAACCUGGGAGAGUUCAGUCUGAUUUUGCAUUUGCCUCUAGACUUCGUAUAAUUAAGGGUGAAAAAUAAGGCCCCUCUGUGUUUCUAUUCCCGUUUGCUUUCUGUG